GCGGGGAGGAAGGUGUUGUCGUUAAUAACCUCAGCAAUUGACGUUAACACCAGAAGAAGCAUCGGCUAAUUCCGUGGCAGCAGUAGCGGUAAUACGGAGGGUGCAAGCGUUAAUCGGAAUUACUGGGCGUAAACCGCACGCAGGCGGUCUGUCAAGUUGGAUGUGAAAUCCCCGGGCUCAACCUGGGAACUGCAUUCGAAACUGGCAGGCUGGAGUCUUGUAGAGGGGGGUAGAAUUCCAGGUGUAGCGGUGAAAUGCGUAGAGAUCUGGAGGAAUACCGGUGGCGAAGGCGGCCCCCUGGACAAAGACUGACGCUCAGGUGCGAAAGCGUGGGGAGCAAACAGGAUUAGAUACCCUGGUAGUCCACGCCGUAAACGAUGUCGAUUUGGAGGUUGUGCCCUUGAGGCGUGGCUUCCGGAGCUAACGCGUUAAAUCGACCGCCUGGGGAGUACGGCCGCAAGGUUAAAACUCAAAUGAAUUGACGGGGGCCCGCACAAGCGGUGGAGCAUGUGGUUUAAUUCGAUGCAACGCGAAGAACCUUACCUGGUCUUGACAUCCACAGAACUUUCCAGAGAUGGAUUGGUGCCUUCGGGAACUGUGAGACAGGUGCUGCAUGGCUGUCGUCAGCUCGUGUUGUGAAAUGUUGGGUUAAGUCCCGCAACGAGCGCAACCCUUAUCCUUUGUUGCCAGCGGUCCGGCCGGGAACUCAAAGGAGACUGCCAGUGAUAAACUGGAGGAAGGUGGGGAUGACGUCAAGUCAUCAUGGCCCUUACGACCAGGGCUACACACGUGCUACAAUGGCGCAUACAAAGAGAAGCGACCUCGCGAGAGCAAGCGGACCUCAUAAAGUGCGUCGUAGUCCGGAUUGGAGUCUGCAACUCGACUCCAUGAAGUCGGAAUCGCUAGUAAUCGUAGAUCAGAAUGAUUCGGUGAAUACGUUCCCGUAGCCUUGGAUCCUGCCUCCGUAACUCCUAACAAGGUAGCCGUAGAGUUUGAUC
Molecule: ribosomal RNA, 998 nt
Filed under: Enterobacter cloacae
Lineage: Bacteria; Pseudomonadati; Pseudomonadota; Gammaproteobacteria; Enterobacterales; Enterobacteriaceae
Description: bacterial SSU rRNA
Rfam family: Bacterial small subunit ribosomal RNA
Source: RNAcentral